Molecule: transfer RNA, 73 nt
Filed under: Fidelibacterota bacterium
Lineage: Bacteria; Pseudomonadati; Fidelibacterota
Description: tRNA-His
Rfam family: tRNA
About the family: Transfer RNA (tRNA) molecules are approximately 80 nucleotides in length.
Source: RNAcentral
GUGGGAGUAGCUCAGUUGGUAGAGCGCCAGGUUGUGGCCCUGGUGGUCGCGGGUUCAAAUCCCGUCUCUCACC